This 563-nucleotide ribosomal RNA is filed under the name uncultured bacterium. Its description in RNAcentral is "bacterial SSU rRNA". It matches the Rfam family "Bacterial small subunit ribosomal RNA", at positions 83 to 682 of the family's 1533-position model. The record is from RNAcentral.
UGGAUACACUUAGUGGCGGACGGGUGAGUAACGCGUGGGUACCUGCCUCACACUGGGGGAUAACAGUUAGAAAUAGCUGCUAAUACCGCAUAAGUCCGCAUGGAAAAAACUCCGGUGGUGUGAGAUGGACCCGCGUCUGAUUAGCCAGUUGGCGGGGUAACGGCCCACCAAAGCGACGAUCAGUAGCCGGCCUGAGAGGGUGAACGGCCACAUUGGGACUGAGACACGGCCCAAACUCCUACGGGAGGCAGCAGUGGGGAAUAUUGCACAAUGGGGGAAACCCUGAUGCAGCGACGCCGCGUGAGUGAAGAAGUAUUUCGGUAUGUAAAGCUCUAUCAGCAGGGAAGAAGUGACGGUACCUGAAUAAGAAGCCCCGGCUAACUACGUGCCAGCAGCCGCGGUAAUACGUAGGGGGCAAGCGUUAUCCGGAUUUACUGGGUGUAAAGGGAGCGUAGACGGCAAGGCAAGUCUGAAGUGAAAGCCCGGUGCUUAACGCCGGGACUGCUUUGGAAACUGUUUGGCUGGAGUGCCGGAGAGGUAAGCGGAAUUCCUAGUGUAGCGGU